CUUUCCACUGGUGGUAUAAUGAGCAGACGCUAAUGAGGGGGGGAAAGGGGAAGACCGUGGGGGGCGGCUGCUGAUGGAAUUGGCCAUGACCUCCAGAAAGGCAUUUUUGUAAAACUUGGAACUGCUUAGUCAAGGUCAACAAGGACAAGACUUCAAAGGCUGGUAAAGCAAGGAAGGAACCCGGGCCCCUGGAUGGCAUCUUGGAACAGAUUUGCCUCUGUCCGUGGACCACCUACCCACCUUCACACUAUUGUACAGGAGAGAAGUUUCAAAUAUUUUGGAGGCCCCUAAAAGGUGUAUAGGCUGUAGGCACUGGGCAUAGAGUGCCUAAUGCAUGCCGUAGACCAGAAUGUGUGAGGGACAAGGAUGCCCCCCGCCCCCGCUCCCACCUUGCCGACACAGAGCCCUUGGCACAAGACAGCAGACACUGAGCACUUCUCACGGCCCCGGGACCCUAGUCAUACUCUGUCCGUGUGCCCUGCCCCCAUCCUUCCUGGCCCCCCAGUUUCUGCCAUUGGGCUUUUGGGGCUGUUUUUGCCACAUGCAAGAGAACUAGGUCCUGGGAGUUUAUGCCCUUUCUACCUGGCUCUUAGCCAGCAACCAACUGGAAAGGAAUACAAAGGCCCAAGCCUUUUACCACCAGUUGGGAAAGGCUCUGAGGUGUGGUUUCUACUCCAGAGCCUCCUUCCCCCAUCAGGCGGUUCAGGAGGAGGCUGGGAUUUGCCUGAGGUCACACAUUGCUUGCCUUCUUUCCCUUCCCUGUCCUGCUCCCCUCCCCUGCUCCCCUGGGAUCCUUUUAUCCCAUUCUUCUGGGAACAUAUUCUCAAUAAAUCCCUUGCACAUGGA
Panthera uncia (snow leopard) is the source of this 846-nucleotide long non-coding RNA. RefSeq lists it as uncharacterized. The record is from RefSeq and is a predicted model, not a curated record. The transcript has 3 exons. NCBI's taxonomy places the organism in Eukaryota, Metazoa, Chordata, Mammalia, Carnivora, Felidae.